This 20556-nucleotide long non-coding RNA is filed under the name Vitis vinifera (wine grape). Its description in RNAcentral is "long non-coding RNA (VVIN_LNC000920)". Lineage: Eukaryota; Viridiplantae; Streptophyta; Magnoliopsida; Vitales; Vitaceae. The record is from RNAcentral.
UAUUGAGCCAGGGACAUGACAGUGAGGUAUAGUAGUUUUUUGACACAGCAAACCCCAUCCAUCAUCAGUUCAUCACUCAUUCUUGUAUCUGUACAUGGAAGAAUUGGAAGAGAAGAGGAGUCCAUCCCCCCAUCCCCCAUCCCCCACCCCAACCAAAAAACAAAAAAGGGAAAAAAAUGAGAAAAAAAGAAAAAAAAUCAAAGUAAGGAAUAUGGAGAAGUCAAAAAGGAAAAGAGAAAAGGGAAAGAAGGAAGCAGAAAUGUAUCAGUAAGGUUUAACUUGUUUGACAGCGGCAUCACAUUUUGGUAGCCGUCAGGAGCCCAUCAACUUUUGCACCCUCUUUUUUUCUGUUGUUUUGUACCUUAAUCUUUAUUUCUUUGUUACAUUCCUUUUCCUCCCCCCCUCAGAUGUAACUGAUAGAAUUGAUUUACAUGAUAGUUCAAUUUCACCAGCCAUGGCUAUCUACUUGCUCAUAGAAUAUUCACUCCCCCAGGUUCUUACUUUCUGAAGAAAAAACCUCCAGGUUUCACAUGGGGUAUUCAUUCAUCCUUGGUUGUUGGUAUAGACUGUCAAUCGGCAUAGGGAAGAGAUGAAGAUACCUUAUUCAGCUGCCCAGCUGAAUAAUUUGCAUCUGAAUAUGAGGAGUUGUUGGAAGAUGGUUUUGGGCAAGCCCACAGAAAAGGGGAACGGAGGUUUUGAUGGUUUAGAACAAGGCACAUUGGAAAAGAGAUAAUGACAUUCAUGAAAGGGAAUAUGUUGAAGUUGGGAAUAUCAGUCCCAUUUGGUCAAUGCAAAAUUGGACUUUACUUCUAAGAAAAAGCGCACAUGAAAAAAAUGCUAGUGAGGAGCAAGUGCUGAAUUUUUGAAAAAUGGUGUCUUACUUACCAUCACAUUCAAAAAUGUGAUUGAUGGUGAAUGAUGAUAAGGUAUCUGCAGCAUGCGAGCAUCAUUGAAAAUUUCCUCUAUUUCUAUGCAAAAGAAAAGUGGCCCAAAUGACAAUUUUUCUUAAUUCAAUCCGCUGUCUCAUCAAACCCUCCACCUUCAUCAAAGAUUUGACCUUUUAAGAACUCACAAAGGCUCAGGAAACAAAAGAGAUAACAUUUUUUUUAUAGUAAAUAAAAAAAUAAAUUUAUAGUAAAUAAAUUAUUUUUAUCAAUAAAUUAUUUUGUAUUUUUCAUAAUAUAAUUAAAGGAUAAUUAUGUUUCGGGUCUAAUUGGAUCCAAAAAUUAAGUUUUGAUCCAUAUAAGUUCAUUAUUUAAGCCCAAGAUUUAGAGAAAGUGUGAAAAUUGAGAAGAAGAAUAUUAAUUUUUUAUCUUUUCAAAAUUAACCUUUAUUGAUUAUGAAAAAAAAGAAUAGAAAAACAUUAAUUUAAAUUUGAUUUCUUUUGCAAACCUCAAUAAAAUUUAAUAUAAUUUAGUAAUUUAGAAACAAAUACAUCAUUUUUCAAAAAAAAUAAAAAUAAAUUAUUAUUAUUUAAAAAUCAAACAUCUUGGAAAAUAUAUAUUUUUAAAAUUGUAUAUAUAAAAAAUAACUAAAAAUAUGUCAAAUUUUUUUUUAAAUGACUUAUUUUUAUAAUUUUUUUUUAAAAAAUUAGUUUUCUAAAAUUAAUAAAUUUUCAAAAUAAUUAUUUAAAAAAAAUAAAAAAGUUUCUCAUUAUGAUAGAAAAUAAUUUUGAAGGGUAUAUUGAUAUCUUCAUAUUUUAUAUAAUUCCCAUCAAUUAUGCAAUUUUUAUGAAUCAAAUCUUAAUUUUUGGCUCAGUUGAGUCCAAAAGACAAUUUUCCCUAUGAUUAGAAGAAAAUCAUUUUCAUUAUUUUUUUUUUCCUUAUCAUUUUUUAUCAACCUUGAAGAACUCAGAUAUGUUGGUAAGAAUGAUGACUUAUUGUCUUAAUCAAUCAAUUCUCUAUUGAAGAAUUUCAAUAAAUGUAACAAAAUUUUAAAAUUUGUUAUUAAAUAAGAUAAUUUUUAAUAGCAAGUUUAAGGCGUUUUUAGAAUGUUUUGAGAAGUUAUUCAUUUGAAAACUAUUUUUACGCUUAUAAAUCAAUUUGAUGUUCAAAAGCCAAGCGUUGGGAUGAUGAUGAAUGCAUUCUAGCUGUUUGUAAAGUUCUCAAGACACACGGAGUCUGUGGUUUUGAAGGGAAAUCAAAGCAAUGCAAUGCGCAAUGUACAAAGGCACUUCCAUAAAACCACAAUCUCCCCAUUCUCCAACACCCUCCCCACCUUCCUUUACCUCCAUUUCACCUCUCUCUUCAGCCCCUUCUCGUCGUUUUCACACUCAUCUUCCUCACAAUGGUUCUCUCUCCUCCGAACCGCCAUCUCAACCCACAACUUACUUCUCGGGAAAUGCACCCACGCCCGCAUUGUUGUUUCCGGCUCCGCCGGCGACCAUUUUCUGUCCAACAACCUCCUGACUAUGUACUCCAAAUGUGGGUCCCUCUCCUCCGCUCGCCAGGUGUUCGACACAACUCCCGAGCGAGACCUUGUCACUUGGAACGCGAUUCUCGGUGCCUAUGCUGCGUCUGUUGACUCCAAUGACGGUAAUGCUCAAGAGGGGCUUCAUCUUUUUCGGCUUUUACGGGCGUCGUUGGGUUCGACUACUAGGAUGACCUUGGCUCCUGUGUUGAAGCUGUGUUUGAAUUCUGGGUGUUUGUGGGCUGCCGAGGGGGUUCAUGGGUAUGCGAUUAAGAUUGGGUUGGAAUGGGAUGUUUUUGUUUCUGGGGCACUUGUGAAUAUUUAUUCCAAGUGUGGGAGGAUGAGGGAUGCUAGGCUUUUGUUUGAUUGGAUGCGGGAAAGGGACGUGGUGUUGUGGAAUAUGAUGCUUAAGGGAUAUGUGCAAUUGGGUCUUGAGAAGGAGGCAUUUCAACUCUUCUCAGAGUUCCAUCGGAGCGGGUUACGGCCUGAUGAGUUCAGUGUGCAAUUAAUUCUUAAUGGGGUUUCUGAAGUGAAUUGGGAUGAAGGCAAGUGGCUUGCGGACCAGGUUCAAGCUUAUGCUGCUAAAUUAUCUUUGUCUGAUGAUAAUCCGGAUGUGUUUUGUUGGAAUAAGAAAUUGUCUGAGUGUCUCUGGGCGGGUGAUAAUUGGGGUGCAAUUGAAUGCUUCGUGAAUAUGAAUGGAUUAAAUAUAGAUUACGAUGCUGUGACAUUACUUGUGGUUUUGGCUGCAGUUGCAGGUACAGAUGAUUUAGAAUUGGGGAAACAAGUCCAUGGCAUUGCAGUGAAAUCAGGUUUGGAUUCAGACGUCUCUGUUGCAAAUAGUCUUGUCAACAUGUAUUCAAAGAUGGGUUGUGCUUAUUUUGCAAGAGAAGUGUUCAAUGACAUGAAACAUUUGGAUUUAAUUUCAUGGAACUCAAUGAUAUCAAGCUGUGCUCAGAGUAGUUUAGAGGAGGAAUCAGUGAACCUAUUUAUAGAUCUAUUACAUGAGGGCCUAAAACCAGAUCAUUUUACAUUGGCUAGCGUUUUGAGGGCUUGCUCCUCUCUUAUAGAUGGCUUGAAUAUUAGUAGACAAAUUCAUGUUCAUGCUCUAAAAACUGGUAACAUUGCUGACAGUUUUGUAGCCACGACGCUUAUUGAUGUUUAUUCCAAGAGUGGAAAAAUGGAGGAAGCAGAGUUCCUUUUUCAAAAUAAAGAUGAUUUGGAUCUGGCAUGUUGGAAUGCAAUGAUGUUUGGGUACAUAAUAGGCAAUGACGGUAAGAAAGCAUUGGAGCUGUUUAGUCUAAUCCACAAAAGUGGAGAGAAGUCAGAUCAGAUCACAUUGGCAACUGCAGCUAAAGCCUGUGGUUGCUUAGUGUUGUUAGAUCAAGGAAAGCAAAUACACGCUCACGCAAUAAAAGCAGGGUUUGAUUCAGAUUUACAUGUCAAUAGUGGAAUUCUAGAUAUGUAUAUCAAAUGUGGAGACAUGGUGAAUGCAGGCAUCGUAUUCAAUUAUAUAUCUGCACCUGAUGAUGUUGCAUGGACAUCCAUGAUUUCAGGAUGCGUGGAUAAUGGGAAUGAGGACCAGGCUCUUAGGAUAUACCAUCGGAUGAGGCAAUCCAGGGUCAUGCCUGAUGAAUACACAUUUGCUACCCUCAUCAAAGCCAGCUCUUGUGUAACAGCAUUGGAACAAGGAAGACAACUGCAUGCAAAUGUGAUCAAGUUGGAUUGUGUUUCAGACCCUUUUGUCGGGACUUCACUUGUUGACAUGUAUGCGAAGUGUGGCAACAUAGAAGAUGCUUAUCGGUUAUUUAAGAAAAUGAAUGUGAGGAACAUCGCGCUAUGGAAUGCCAUGUUAGUGGGUUUAGCUCAACAUGGGAAUGCUGAAGAAGCCGUUAACCUUUUCAAGAGUAUGAAAUCUCAUGGAAUUGAACCUGAUAGAGUCUCCUUUAUUGGAAUCCUUUCAGCCUGUAGCCAUGCUGGCUUAACUUCUGAAGCCUAUGAGUAUUUACAUUCAAUGCCCAAUGAUUACGGUAUUGAGCCUGAGAUUGAGCAUUAUUCUUGUCUAGUUGAUGCCCUAGGGCGUGCAGGGCUCGUCCAAGAGGCAGAUAAAGUGAUUGAAACGAUGCCCUUCAAAGCUUCUGCUUCAAUUAAUAGAGCCCUUCUUGGUGCUUGUAGGAUCCAAGGGGAUGUAGAAACUGGAAAGCGUGUGGCUGCACGGCUCUUUGCUUUGGAACCAUUCGACUCUGCAGCUUAUGUUCUUUUGUCUAAUAUCUAUGCUGCUGCCAACCGAUGGGAUGAUGUAACUGAUGCUAGAAAAAUGAUGAAGAGGAAGAAUGUAAAGAAGGAUCCCGGGUUUAGUUGGAUUGAUGUGAAGAACAUGCUGCAUUUGUUUGUGGUGGAUGAUAGAUCACACCCCCAAGCUGAUAUAAUCUAUGACAAAGUAGAGGAAAUGAUGAAAACAAUCAGAGAAGAUGGAUAUGUUCCUGAUACGGAAUUCGUGCUGCUUGAUGUAGAAGAUGAGGAGAAAGAGCGGUCUCUCUAUUACCAUAGUGAAAAGCUUGCGAUAGCUUAUGGACUUAUAAGCACUCCUGCAUCAACCACAAUCCGAGUGAUUAAAAACCUUAGAGUUUGUGGGGAUUGCCAUAAUGCAAUCAAGUACAUAUCGAAAGUUUUUGAAAGAGAAAUUGUGUUGAGAGAUGCAAAUCGCUUCCACCAUUUUAGAGAUGGAGUAUGCUCUUGUGGGGAUUAUUGGUAAUGUAUGUAGGCUUGUUUGGUUCGAUUUUUAAGAAGUUAAAAGCUCUUUUAUAAGCUCGAUAAAAGCUUGUAUACUUAUCCGAUUAAAUUUUGUUUAAAGAGAUUAUGAUUUUAAAAAAGAGCUUAAGUCAAGCAAAUGUGAUUUUUAUAAAACCUCUAUUUUGGCUUAUGCAAGAGGUUUUUUCAUGUUUGAUGAAAUUUUUACAAUGUCAAUAGUGUCCUUUUAAAAUUGUAACUUUAACUUUUAGCUAAAAUAAAAAAUAGGGAUAACAAACGGGGUUGUAAGAGCUCAUCACUUUUUAGUUUUUUUUCUUUUCCCCUCUUGUAAAAUCCAUAUAAUUUAACUAAUGACAAAGAAAUUUUGGAAAUGUACAUUGUUAGAGUCCCAUAAUUCGGAUUAUUUCUACUUUAUGAUAGAUUAAAUUCAAAAAAUGAUCACUUUCUAGCUCUUUAUAUUAUUGAUGUAUCAUCUGAGUUGAUUUUGCUUGAGAUUUUAUAUCACAACAUUAUGAACUUUUCUAUAUGUUAUCGAAAGCCUUAGUUGAAUAUGAAUGCAUGUUGUGAGAUCUCAUGGCUUGAGAGAGGGUGAACUCCUUUUAAUUUUUUAGACGCAUUUAAAAUCCAUGAGAACCUUGGUGCAUUUCAGGCAAUAUCUAUAAAUGAGAGAGUUUCGUUCUUAUAAAUGAUAUUAGAGUUGAUUAUUGAAAAUGUAUCCGUUUGGCUCCACAAAUACAACCACCAAUUUACUUAAUAGAAAAUAGUUUAAGCCCGGUCUAAAAACUAUUCUUGAAAACAAUUUUUGGUUCUUUAAGAUUGAAAACAUUCAUUUGACAAGCUUAUGACAAUUUUUUUAUAAAAAAUUAUUUUUUUAAGAAUUUGUAUUGAAAUGUAUUGUCUUUAGUAAAUAUGUUAAAUGUUUUCAAUUAUUUUUUAUAUAAUACUUUGAAUAAUAAUUAAAAAUACAAGGAACACUUUGAUAAUUUUUGUAUUACACAUAAGUGGGUUGUAAUUUUACGGAGAGCCAAUAGAUUUUCUUUCUUUAUUUAUUUUUUGGUCAUAUUUGAGUUUUCAAAUAAAUAUUUGUUCUUAAAAAAUGUUUUUAACACCAAUUAUUAUUAUUAUUUUUUCAAGAUGUGAUCAAAUAAACCAUUAAGUAGUGUUUGUUUUUAAAUUUUUUCUAUUAAUUUAAAAAUAAUUUACGGAUAUCAACCAAUAUAAUUAAAAUAAAUUUGUUAUCAAUAUGUUCGAUUUAGUUAUAUUGGUUGACAUCAACAAGUUAUUUUAACUUUUUCUAUUCGGCCAAAAAACAAAUACCACCUUAGUGUUUCGACAUUUUCCAAACUUUCAUUUUUCACCAUACUACUUGGCCAUAUUUUUAUAUUUAAAAGGGUAAAUACCAAAUUCUAACUUAAUAAAAUUAUUAUGAUCGUGGAUAACUAAGAUCAUAUCUUUGGAUCAUUUAAGAGGAUAUGAUUAUCUUAAUAUAUAUAUUUAAAAUUAAUUGUUGAAUUAAUGAUUAUCUAAUAUUCCAAGAAUAUAUGAUCAUUUUAGGAUUACACUUAUAUGAAACUUCAACUGUAAUGACUUAAAAAAAUCAUCCCACCAAUUAGGGGAGGUGAAAUGCUGCAAUUAUCAUAUAGUUGCCUAAACUUAUGAAUUGCUAUGAAUAAUUUAUUAGUUUAUAAGAGUUCAUAGUUGGGAUAUUUUAUAAGUCGUUCAUUCUUCCUAUCCUUCCCCGUCCGACCUCUAAGGUCUUGGUGCCCGGUGAGCACCACGUAUUGAAAGACCUCACUUUAUACGAGUUCGCGCGUGCGGCGGAUGCAAAAACACGCUAGAACCGGCUAGACCAGAAAGAGAAGAAGCGCUAGGACGGGACGCUAAGGCAAGCUCUAGGCGAAAACCGCCCGGUCUCCAACUCCACCGUCCGUCUUUAGGCCAAGAAGAAGAAACUUGCCGCUCAACCCACUCAGAAGGCGUCAGUUCCGCCACCCGCAUUUCCUUCCGUUUCAGCUUCUUUUGCAUCUUCAUCUUUCUCUGUGGCCAACACUAAAUCGUACUCAACAGUUGACUCAUCUUCCGUAGGAACCGAGCCAGAGACAAAGGUUGAGUCGGUGGUACCCUGUAUCAUCUAUGAAGAGGAGAGAAGUGAGGACAUGGCUGCAAACCUGAGAGUCGACUUCAAGGAGAGGCAGUGCAAACGCCUUUUUGAAUCUAUUAUGGUCAUCUCUCUUUCUGCUAAGAAGACUUGCAUGGAGAUUCUCUACCCAGAGCUUGUCUCGACUAUUGCUCCGACGCUAGAGCCUUCGGCUGUUGCUGCGGGCACCAGUCAUGUGUCGGACGGGAGACCUUCAUUUGUUGGAAAAGCUACUCGCCUAAAGCUAUGUGGGUCUUCCACUGGUUUGGCAUAACUUAGCGAUGACUCCAUCGAGUGUGUUGUUUUUGUCCCUCCACGCCCUCAAACGCCUCAUGCUCCCAAUUGGGAAGAAAUAGCUGAACUGAAGCCAAUUUCCUGCUUUACAGAGAGAGAGGCUCUCGUGAACAACAUAGGGGACCUCUUUUCGACCACUCGACGGAUCUCGAUGGACCUAGAUGGCGACCCCAACAUUUUCUUUAUGGCCCGACUCUCAUUCGGCACCCCAGAAUCCGUCGCUUCCCGUAUCUUACCUAUGCAGAAUUACACAGCCUUUGAGACGAUAGAAAUGGUAAGCGUUUCCUCUUUUCGAUUCAAGGUGCCUUAGCUUCUUGUUAUCUUAAUAUAUUUCUUUUUAGGUGGUAGCCCGCGUCUGCAAUCUGAUGUAACAACUCGCUUUGCUUUUCAAAUGGUUGGAGGUUGUCGAGACUAUGAAAGUGUACAUUGACCACCACAUGGACGACAGUGAAGACCUUCUCUCCAAGCUGAAAGUGGUAGAGAGCGAACUUGCAAUUGCUCGAAAAGAUGUCGACGAGGGAGUCAAGUUGUUAAGGAAUACGGAAAAGGCGAGAGACACAACUAAAGUUGAGACCCACUGACUGAGAGAGGAAGGAGAGACAAUGGAUGCCAAGUGUAAGACGGUUGAGCAGGAUAAUGAGCGGCUGGGGCAGGAGAUCGAAGAACUCCGAGCGAGGUUCAUUGUUCAAAAGGAGGAACUGGAGGACGAGUACCAAAAGCAGGUGGAUGACAUUUUUUUUAUUCAGCUACCAGUGCUGCAUGAAGAAACAUGACAUCACCUAGGAUACUCCCAGCUAUCCUUCAGAUGAUGAGAACGCAACAGUUGGCUACCCUGCCCAAGGAGACGGAGAUAUUGCUGCAAUCAGUCUCUCUGGUGGGCAGACAUGAUCCUUUUAUAUUUUUUUCUGGCCGGAGAUGACUCAACAAGAAGUUGUAAUGAACACUCAUGUUUUUAAUACAUACUUGCCUUUCUCAUUCUCUUUUCACAUACAUUUUACUUUACACAAGCCAAUCUUAUUGAUAAUACUGCUUCAAGUUGGAUACAUUCCAAGAACGGAGCAGAGGUACUUUGUCCAAUGUUUAUAGAUGGUACGCCCUCGAGUCCCCAACCUUAGUCAUGACAUAGGGCCCUUCCCAAUUAGCCUGGAGUUUUUCGGCUCCUAUUUUGGCCGUGUUCUCAAAGACUCUUCUAAGGACUAAGGUUUCGAUUUAGAACAUACGUGGCCGGGCCUUUUUAUUAUAAUGAGCAAUAGCUCUCUGUCGAUAAGAGGCCAUUCGGAUGGCUGCGUUCCCUCUCACCUCAUCUACCCAAUCCAGGUGCUCUCCAAGCUCAUGAUUUUCAUCCAUUUGACCUUGUAUGAUUGUUUUGGUAGUGGACAUGCCUAUCUCAAUUGGAAUAACAACUUCCAUUCCAUAGGCAAGAGCGUAAGAAGUGGUUUUUGUAGGCUAUCCGGGUGUUGUCUGGUAUGCCCACAAGACUCCGAGCAACUCGUCUACCCACUUUCUUUUGGCCAUUUCCAGUUUCUUCUUUAGUGCAGUGAGUAUAAUUUUGUUUAUCACCUCUGUUUGUCCAUUACUCUGAGGAUAACGGGAUGUCAAAUAUAAAUUCUUGAUUUUUAGCUAUGAGCAGAAAGUUCUGAAGGUAAUGCUAUCAAAUUGCGGCCCAUUGUCUACUACAAUUGCUUGUGGGAUCUCGAACCGACAGACGAUGUUUUUCCAGACGAACCCGGAGACGUCAUUGUCUUUGUUGCUAGCAUAGGCUUCUACUUCUACCAAUUUACUGAAGUAGUUAGUGACUACGAGCAGAAACUUUUUCUGUGCGGUUGCGACGGAUAAGAUGCCAACUAUAUACAUCUCUUAUAGUGCGAAUAACCAAUGACUCGUGACCAGAUUAAGGACUUCAGAUGGCAUACGAGGAAUGAGAGCGUACAUUUGAUACCAGUCACACCUCUUGACAUAGUUUUCAACGUCUUGCCUCAUGGUGGGCCAAUAGUACCCCUACGUGUGAGCGCGAUAUGCUAAGGUACGUCCGCCUGCAUGAUUGUCGCACACACCCUCAUGGAGCUCGACUAGGAUGUACUGGGUUUCCAACUUGCCCAAACAUUUUAGGUACAACCUUCCAAAAGAUCGUUUGUAAAGGCCGUCAUUGAUUAGAGUGAAGCGGGUGGCCUACACCUGUGCAUGUUUUUCAUCUUUUGGUAGUUCCCCUGUCCGGAGAUACUUCAUAAUUUCGUGCAUCUAGUCGGUGUUCAACUUAGUAGUACUAUAUAUUGGUGCUAACACAAUUGAUGACAUGGUUUGGAAGUAGAUGGACAACAACACGACCUCUUCUAUAGGGAAAGUGGCGACUAUUCCGGCCAGUGAGUCAGCUUUUAAGUUUUUUGUUUGGGGUACUCUUUCAACAGUCCAUUCGCCUAGUUUUGCUAAGUGAUCUUCUACCAGUGUGAGAUAGCAAGUCAUGUGUUCGUCCUUAGCUUCAUACACUUUCUAGAUUUGUCUGAUGAUUAGUUGAGAAUCGCUACAUAUUUUCAACUUGAUUGUUGCCAAAGUAAAGGCAAAGUCCAGUUCGUCCAAGAUCGCCUCAUACUUAGCUUCAUUGUUAGAGGUAGGGAAACCGAGUCGGAUAACUUGCUCUAGUAGCUCUCCGGUUGGUGAUUGUAAAAUUAGGCCUACCCCGACAUUGGAGGCCCUGGAUGCUCCAUCCACAUGAAGUAUCCAUCACUCUUCCUUAGGGGAGUCGACUAAGUGAGACGGUUUUUGGGGGAGUUCAGCUAUAAAGUCAACCAUGACUUGUCAUUUCAACGUCAGUCUAGGUUGAUAUUUGAUUCCGUACUCACUCAACUCAAUGACCCAUUUUAGUAUUCGUUUGAACAUGUCCGGUUUAUGCGAAGUGCUUCUGAGUGGUUGAUUUGUGAGUAUAAUCACUUGGUGGGCUUGAAAGUACGGGCAGAGCUUCUGGGCGGCGCUUUUCAAGGCUGAAGGUUUGCUCUAUUUUGGAGUAUUGGGUUUCUGCGUCAACCAUCGCUUUGCUUACAUAGUAGACAAGCCUUUGUUCUUUGUCUCUUAUAUGACAAAACAGAAUAACACUGACCACAUAGUUAGACACGGCUAAAUACAUGUAGAUUUGUUCACCAUAUUGAGGGCUACUCAGAAUGGGUGGCUCAGUGAGAUAAUGCUUAACUUCGUUGAAUGCCCGUCUGCAUUCAUCCGUCCAAUCGAUUGCGCUUGCCCUCUUGAGUGUGAGGAAAAAAAGCCUUAGCUUAUUUUUAAGAUGAGCUAUGAAAUGCCUCAACGCAGCCAGACGACCUGUGAGGCACUACAACUCCUUCUUGCUAUUCGGGAAAAAUGUCUUAAGAACAACUUUUAUUAGAUCCGGGUUAAUUUUGAUUUCCUUCUAGGUUACCAUAAACCCUAGGAACUUUUCCACGCUGACACUAAAAACACAUUUAGCUGGGUUAAUCUUCAUGUUGUACGUCUUCAUUAAGCGAAAUGUUUCUUCUAAGUGUUGGGCAUGUUUGCUUCGGGUCUUGCUUUUCACCACAAUGUCGUCGAUAUAGACUUCUACGGUCUGGUCGAUCAAGGGUUUGAAGAUUUGUUAUCAGCCUCUAAUAAGUAGCGCCAAUAUUUUUUAGCCCAAACAACAUGACCCUAUAGCAGUACAGUCCAUGUGGUGUCACAAAUGCUGUCUUUUCUCCAUCUGGUUGGAACAUGGGGAUCUGGUGGUACUCGGAGAAUGCGUCUAUGAAGGAGAGUAUCAUAUGCCCGGAAAUGGCGUCUACUAUUUCAUCUAUUCGGGGCAACAGAAAACUAUCUUUCGGGCAAGCAUCAUUUAGAUUGGUGUACAAAGACUCGCUAUUUUCCAUGUUUUUUCAGAACAACCACCACGUUCGCUAACCAAUCCGGAUAUUCAACUUCCCUGAUAAACCUGAUUGUUAGCAAUUUGUCCACCUUAGACUAGUGUAAAUCCUCCAUUUUGUCCCUUUAGCACAUGUCUUUCAGUUCACUUCCAGUGCUCCACAAUAGUUAUUUGGUAGUCCAUUGCUACUCACACUACUUACCUUUUUUUAGCCACCUUGGAGACUCUGAUUAAGAUAUUUAUCUAUUCCCAUUAUGACAUUGGCAGCCCCUCGAGUUUAGUUUAGGUUUCUUCACAUAAAUGUGUUUCCACUUAGAUCAUCCCAGGCUUAGGUCACUUGACCAUUUUGUUUUAGUUUAGGUUUCACUUAAGUCAUUUUCCACUUAGUUCACCUAUGCACCUUUUAAGUUAGGUUAGAUAUUUUUAAGAAUAGGUUCCACUUAGACACUUCCUUAAACUUAAUUCACUUAGGCUUUUAUUGAAUUCCAUUGGUAGGUUUUGGGCCUAGGAGAGUUUUGGACUUGAUUUCGUUUAUUUUUAUUGCAUAGAUGGUCUUUCAAUAUUUAGUCAUGUGAGUUUGAUACUCACAUUAGUUUAAUAUUUGGAUUUUGAUUGCAUGCAUUUAAUUUUUAACAUUUUUGUUUGUUUCAUUUAUUUAUUUGGAAAAAUUUACGUGAGACUAAUGUUGACUUUUAAUUGCAUGAAUUGAUGUUUGAUUUUAGAUAUGCAUGAGAGUGGCAUAUUUUUUUAAAAUAGUAUAAUUUUAUAUUUUAUUUUCAAUGACAUGAUAUUUCAUUUAAUUUUUAUUUUUUUAUAUUUUUUUUUCUUGCAUGAGAGUGGCAUUGGAGGAUUUAUGGGAAGUAAAGGCUACUAUGAUUGUGGAGAAUUAUGAUUUGUGUGUAGUUUUGAAGUUUAUAAAUGGUUGGUUUUGAGGUUACAGUUAGUGCCAUCAUAAGUUUUCAUGAGUUGUCUUUACCAUAUCAUAUUAAAACUUCUUGUGGGUUGUUUUUGUGGGUAUUUUUUGGUGUACUCAUGGACCCCACAUAGGCUGAAAUGGGCGCCUUAACGAGUUGCGAUAGGCAUUGAAAUUCAAUGCAUUUACAAGUUACACAUGGACUGACAGUGAAUCUGGGCACUUUUAUAGGCUGAAUUUUUAAUAAGAAAAUAUCGUGGUUGUAUGAGAUAUAUUUUGGAAGACAGAAUCAUGCAUUCCAUAUAUUAACAAUCACACUUUCCAUACUAGAAAAAACCACGCACCAUUGCGACUGGGGAAGCCACGCACUUUCCAAAAAAGAAGAAGAUAACUUGUACAUGUAUAAAGAGAAUACACAGUCCCCUCAUGCUAAGUGGAGAAUUCACACAUUCAGUAUUGGAGAUGAUGCACCAAUAUGGGGGUCAACGCUACCAAAAGAGGCAUCCAUUAGUUUUUUCUGAGAAGGGAAUGCACAUUAGAAUUCUCUUUGAACACGCACCAUCAAAUUCUUGGUUGGAAGGAGAACAUGAUGGGAUUGUUGAUUGUUAAAGGUGAUCAUCAUCAAAUUUUUCAUGGUUAGAAGGAGAACACUAUUAGAAGGUUCGAAGAAAAACACGAUGAUAUUGCUCGUGGAAAAGAUGGGAUUUCUCCUAUGGAUAGUAAGCAUAAAACGUUGGGAUUCUCCACAUGAAGGGACAACCGCUAUCACCGAGAGAACAUCUCCAUACAACCCCUUGGGGUCCAAUAUGCACCAUUUAGAUUUUUUUAGUCGGAGAAGAAAACUUACCAUUGGAUAAGGAAAGUGGGACUCUCCAUGGAAGACGUUUUGGGAGAGUUUGAAAUUUUGAGGAUUUGUUUUGGUGCGGAAGAUAUGGAAAUGGCAUGGGAGUUUAAGGAAAGUGAGACUCUCAUUGGAAGACGUUUUUGGGAAGUUUGAAGUUCUAAGGAUUUGUUUUAGUAAGGAAGAUAGGGAUAUUGGGAGUUUAAGGAAAAUUGGACUCCUUGAGAAUAAUUGAGAGUCCACAAUUACAUGUAUUUUUGAAUAUAAAAAGGAGAACUUGAACUGAAAUGGGACUUCAGAUAAGAAGAUUGGAGAAAAAAAGGAAAAAUGAGAGUCUAUUAUUGGAGAAUGGACUCACGGAUGAGGGGAAUUAUUUUGGAGAUCAUGUCAUUAGUGGAAUUUUGGGGCUUAAGCCAUGGAUAAGGAAUGUUAAGCAUUUUUUUGGGAGAAGGGAUCAUAAAGCAUUUGAGAAAGAAGAAAUAAGGCUACGUUUUGGAGAAGAAAAAAUGGGGUAACGACACCAGAAAUCUUGAUGACAACUUUUCCAUUGGGCUUUGGAGGAGAAGUAUGUAUCUACUUUAAGAACAAUAACCAAGAGUGACUCAGGAAGAAAAAGCCUAUGCAUAGUCCACUAUUGGAAGAACUGCAUAAGUUCUCAUAUAGACUCCAUUCUCCAUGGAGAAGCAUUGACAUGCAGUAGCCUGAAAAGAAAGAGAGUCCAUCUUAGAAAGAAUACCACAUACACAGGCUGCCACUUGGAAAAACUCUCCACGCACACACCAAGGGUGAUAGGAUAACCACACAACCCAUAAUUUUAGGAUCUCCAUGUUGGUUGCAUCGUUGAGAAACAACUUAUCGUAUCAAGAAAAAAGAUAGGAAGCAUACACAACCACUGAUUCUAAGAAGGUGGUAGCCCAUUGCACUUUGCCAAAGAUCAUCACUUCAUGCACUCUCAUAAGGGAUCCCACAAAGAGACAACAUAUAAGAAGAAACAGUCCACCUAGUGUCCACAUACAGCCAUUCCACAUGUCGUUAGGAAAGAUAAGUUAAAUCUUAUAUAUUUUAGUGUUGAUUCAUUACUUUGGAUUAAAAAAUUAGGACUUUGUUUAGUGUAAUUUUGGUUCAUUAUUUUGGGUUAAAAAGUUGGAAUUUUGUUUACCUUAGUUUCAUUUCAUUGUUUUAGAUUAAAAUUUUAGAAUCUUGUUUAGUUUUUAUUAUAUUUUUUAGUUUUAAAAGUCGGAAUUUUGUUUAGUUUAUAUGUUUUCAUAAUUUUAGUUUAUUAAAUAUAAUGGAUUCCAUGUGAUAAAGUUCAUGUUUUAAUUUUUGUUUUGACUAAGUUUUGAUCCAUCUUAUUUAGUUUAUUUUGAUUCACCUCUUUUAGUUCAUGAGCUUUUAGAAUUUAAGUUGAUUAAUUUAAUUGGUUCCAUGUCUUUAUUUUCAUCUUUUAAGUAUAUCAAUUUUCAUUCUUGGUUGAUCAUUAGUUUAGACUAUGUGUUUUUCUAAAAUUUUUAUUAAUUAGCUUAAUUGAUCUUAUGUUAGUUCUUGAUUGCUAAUCUCAGUAUGUGCUUGAUUGAUCAUUGUUAAUUCUUGAUUAAUAUCUUGUUAGUUUUAUCUUAUCUAAAUUCAUUUAGUUUAUUCCUAUGUUGAUUGUUUGUUAAAUUUGACUUUUAGAGGUCCUCAGAAGAUAAUCAAGAUUGACCUCCAUUCUCACCACUUUAGUUUGCUUGGUUGUCAAAAAUUUCACUUUAUGAUUUUGUUUUCUUUUGUUUUGCUUAGUAUUUUGUUUCUUAUGUUUUGUUGUCUUCAAAUUAAUUUUUUUAAUUUUAAAAUAAAAUAAUUUUCUCAAAAGAUCCCAUUGAAAAUCUAUUUUACAAAAUACAUUUAGAGUCCUUGAAAUCAAAAUCUCAUUUUCUUAAAGAAUAUGCAACCAUGUUUUGAUCGGUUCGCAUCUUCCUCAGUUUUCAGUAAAAAUUAUGGUUUUGAGUAAGACACGAAUCCAAGCUUGUGGUCUCAAAUAAAUGGGAUAAUUCUAGGCUAGAUUUGUGUAUAUCAAUUGGGGAAUUAGUGAAACCCCUACAUAAAAUCAUUUUUCAAAACUCUUCUUUGCUGCCAAUUUUCAUUUAACCACUGACCCUUUAGCUUUAAAAUUAGUUUCAGCAACUCCAAAACAUCUUUUAAAAAAAUUCUAGAACUUGUAUGAUUUUCCUCACUUCUUGAAUUUAAAAUUUCGUUUGAAUUAGAAAGCAAUUAUAGAAUAUAAGAUAUAAAUGAGUUUUUAGGAGGGCUUUGUUUUCACCCAAUUCUGGAUACCCAAAAUCUUUUGUAAAAAUAAAAUAACAGAUGACUUUUAAAUUUGAUUCAAUAUUUUUUUUCUUAAUUUUAGACUUCUUGCAAUUGGUCUUAGAUAUAUAAAAUAUUUAAAAAUAUACUUUUUUGAGGGAGAUAUGAUUUUUCAAAUUCAUACCUAUUGUACAUGAUGAAAUCUGGACACUUGAUUAGUUGGAGUGUUUUAAAAAUACUUUUGAAUACUCCCCGACCCUGGAUUUAUUUUUCCUAUGAUGUAAACACUUUGAACCAUGAGUUUGAUUUUUUUUUUUAAUAAUUUUAUGUGAUCUCUUAUUAUUUUAAAAAAUUUGUUUAUGCAUGUCACUUUUUUUCACCUAACCUGGACUUUGUAGAACUUUUGGGUGUCUUUGCUGUAAUUUGUCAUUUGAAUGAGUGUUUGGUUUUUGGCAUCUUGUUUUAGAUGUGUAGGAGUUGUUUCUUGAAUUUUUUUGUGAUUAAAUUUCACUCUAAGACAUUUUUUAGAAAUUGUUUUGUGAUGCUCCCUUAACUAAUUGCAUGCUAAGGAUCUUGUAUUUUGCUUGAAAUUGUUAUUAUUUUUGGGGUCAUUUGACUUACCUUGGCUCAAUUUUGGCUUUGGUACUAUAUAUUAGAUAUAAUGAAUAUGUUACAUAAUUUAUAUUUGUCCUAACCACUCUAGCAUUUUUGGAGGAGUCUUAUAAAUCAUACAUGCCAUCUAGGUACGCCCUCUAUCACUUACUUUUCGGAAUUUUAUGAAUAUGCAUGUCGUUGUGAGCCUUGUCGAUGUUUGAUGUAAUCCUUGGGUGUCUAGAUGUCUAUUUGAUUUGCUUUGAUGAAAUAUAUGUCGUAUGUUAUAUUUCUGUGCUAACUUUAAUGUCUUAUGAUAGCGCUUGAGAGACAAUCUAGGUAUACAUCCUAACAUUUCUUUGUGAUCAUGAUUUGACUUUCUGGCUUAAUAUAAUUAUUCAAAAAUCACCUUAGUCUACCUAGGUACCUUCAAUUAAUUGAUUAAUUGCCACUUUUCCCUCAACUUAGUCAUUAGAGACCUCUUUAGGGCUUAUAGGGGUGCUACCUCUUAGAGGUACAUUCCCAAUAGGUAACCUGAUCACCGGACCAAAACUCGGGUUUUUCAAGACUUGCUUUUCCAAAACUAUGGAGUCACUUCUUUAGGGUUUUCUUUCUUAUUUUAUUUUCCUUUUUAAAAUAAAAUAAAAUAAGUGGCGACUCCAACUUUUACAAAACUAAUUCUUCACCAAUAAAAAUGAGUGUCGCCGAUUGAGUGGAGAUGCACGUGAAAAAUACGGGUCCACAACUGGAUGAUCAUUUGCCUGUUUGGGUGGAAGCGUCAAACCUUUUGGCGGACGGGUCAUGAGGAAGGUAUGACGUUGAUUCAAUGUGAAACUAUAGAUGGAUGGAUUCCGGGCAUGUCAAAGUGAGUCCAGAUGAAGAUGUCUCUAUUUUGUUAAAGCACGCCUUCAAAUAGCUUUAAUUCAUCUAACGCAAGGGGAGCUGGCAUAGGUAACAUGAUCACUACUGCAUGAGAGAUGCAGAGGUUGGAGUGGGUCAGCCGCAGGCGAAUAUUUUUCCACCGGGUUUAGUAAUUGCUAUUAUUUCUCCAUAUUUGACGGUUCUGGGCGUGACUCACUAUUGCUUGGGAGUUCGGACUCAAAUGCCACUUGAUAGCACUAGCACGCAGCUAGCUGACUACCAAAAAUGUCGAUUUGUCCAUCCUUGGUGAGGUAGCUCACCAUCUGAUGAUAUGUAGAAGGAAUGACCUUCAUGCUAUGAAGUCAUGCGCAUCCCAUUAUGGCCUUAAAAGGGGAUAACUUCUCUACCACCGAGAAUUGCACGUUCUGGGUGAUCGGACCAACUUGGAUGGGUAAUACGACGUCCCCUAGGGAAGUUGUCAUGGCUCCAUUGAAUCCAGAUAGUAUCCACCCUGGGUUUUCUAGGGCAGAUGGUGGGAGUCCCAUUUGCUUAUAAGUCGACAUCUACAAAAGGUCAGCCGAGUUACCCGGGUCGAUUAGAACUCUUCUCACAUCGAAUUUGCUUAUUCCUAGUGUCAGAAUCAAGACAUCUUCGUGUGACUACAAUACCCGAUUGACGUUUAUAAAAGGGAAGGUAAUCGUGCCGUCCACAGGGCACGUACUUCCACCUGGCAAGUUAUAUAGGAUGAAACUUAUUCGUUCCCUUAUGGAGGCUGCGUAGAGCACUCUCUGCCUUUUUCGCUUGGAGUUGUAUUUUUCAUCAGCAGGGUCUCCAUGGAUGUAGUUGAUGACAACUCUGGGAGAUGCUGAAGUUGUGGGGGUUUGGACGGCCAAACCCCGAACCGUUUUUCUUUGUCUUAUGACUGUGCGGACAUGUUGUCUCAAGUGCCCAACCCUGAUUAGUCUUUUCACUAAGUAGUGAAGACUUCUGCACUGUUCUGUGGUAUGAUCAUGAUCUUUGUGGUGGGUACACUUCUGGAUUUGAUCUCGUUUUACCGGAUCUAUCUUAAUUGGUUCUAACUAUCUGAAAUUGGACAGGUCACGAAUCAUGGGGAGAAGUUUAUCGUAUGAAAUGUUGAGUGGGGUUAGGCUAACUUGGCUUGGUUGCUGCUGGUCAUUCUACCCCUUACUAGGUUGUCUCAGUUGGUUUAAGGGCUUAGAGCUUCCGAUAUGGUCGUUUUUGGUUGGUCGGCUGGUGACAUGACCUAUUGGGUAGUCAUGCGAACGUUGUCUUUGAGCAUAAAGUACUUGUUUGCUCGUCUGAACAUGUCGUCCAUUGUUGCUGGCGGCUUCUUGGAGAAAGAUUUGAAGAAUGACGUACCUGGACAAAUGCUUCUCUUGAAGAUUUGUAGGAUGACGUCUAUGUUACAAGACUCUACUUGGAGAACAACCUGUCUGAACCAUUUCACGAACUCUCUUAAGGAUUCAUUGUCCUACAUCUUGAUGUUUUGCAGGGUGCUUAUGUUCUGCUUGUAGCGAGCUGAACAUAGGUAGUGCCCCACAAAGGCUUCUAACAGAUCUCGAAAAUUGUUCAUGGAGUUCCUUGGGAUGUGGUGGAACCACGAGAGAACUUGGCCGUGUAGGCUGGCCGGAAAGACUUUGCAUAACAGUGCAUCAUUCCCUAUGUCUAGGGUUAUAAGUUGUCAGUAUUGCAUGAUAUGAUCGAACGGAUCGCUCAUUUCGUCGUAUGUCGUGAAUUUUGGCACCAUGAACCCCCUUGAGGGCUCAUAAUUGAUGAUAUGAGAACUAAAAAGAAUGGAGAGCAUGUCAUCUAGUCGUCGGUUGAUAGAGCCAAGAGGACCUCGAUCUGCUAGAACCCUUGCUUGUUGUUGUGCUGGAAAAUGGGAGGGCCACUUCGACAUAACUGCUGCAAUCGAGGAACCAAGAUGGACCUCCUAGGUUGCUGCUACACAUGGUUUUCUUUCCAUGCUAGGUGUCUAAGGUCCCAGCCAGGCCUGCAUUACAUCAGACAGUUGCGACCUCCUGUCGUGCCUCAUUUUUAUUGACACACGGGUAUAAUCAGAGCUUUCGUUUAGUAGCGCUUGGCAAGCUAGUAAAAAAUUCUCAUCGGAUUGUAUCUCAUGACUGCUAUGGGGGAACUUUGCGUUCCUGGAAAAUGACAUCUCGUCAUUUUGUUUGGAUGUUGUUCGCUGGCUUUUAGGUUGUCAGUUGUGAGAGGGGCCCGAUGAUGAUACUUGGGCACACAACACAUCAUUUUCUCCUUUAAGUCUUCUCGUCUCGCGGAGCAAUGAUUGUACAUGUCGCUCACUCUCUUGCUGCCAUUUUUCCAUGUUCUCACGCCAAUUGAAGUAGCCUUCGCUACCCAUGGUCGAUGAUCGACUCCUAUAAGGCGUUGACAUCCUUAAACGUUCCCACAGACAUCGCCAAUGGUAGUGCAAGGUUAACUGGAGUCAAGUCCGUCUAAGUUAAAAGGGUUUAGACAACCUUCCUCCCUACUUUGUGACUUUCAGAACUCCAACCCAACACUGGGGAGAUUGGGUGGGUUUUUUCCGUGCAUAAAAGAUGUCCAGGUAGGUAGUCCAGGCACAUAUCUCCAAAGCUUAAGUUAGGCAAAGAUAGUUUAGGCUCCUUCAAUGAGAGAAUGAGUAGGUUAGUUCAUGUGUGUGUACCUUGUUUGUGCUUGAGGAAGGUUUUUAUAGUGCUGAAGAGAAAGCCAUUGUAGUGUUGACCAAAUACUUUGACCUUCUCUGUAAUGAUGACUAUCUUGUAGGUGGUAGGGCAAAAAUCAUUAUAGCUUUAGGCACCUGACAGGUGCCAUCAAAAGAUAUGUCAUGAUGCUUAACCGUUCAAUUGCCCGUUCCUUCAACCUGUCGGAGGUGUGGGAUUGUGUGUAGUAAUUAAUUGACAUGAACUUGAGGGUUAGGGAAUGUCCCAUUAGUCAUUCCUAUGCCAGAUGUGAAUGAUUACGUAAAGCAGUGAGCCUUAAAGGCUGAUUAGGUGGUUCCGUCUGCUCAGAGAGCCCGGUCUUACUUGCUGUUUGUCUACUCAGGGAAAUAGGCCCUCCUGUCUGUGACCAGAUGAAUUGAUCGUGGUCUGGAUUGAAGAGUCCGGACACUGCUUCCCUCUUAUUUGGACAGUGCUUAGCUGGAAGUGACACAUAAAAUGACACGUGGAGAGGCCUUACAGCAGGCAGGGCUGCUUCCAAUUGUGAUAUAUUGAGCCAGGGACACGGCAGUGAGGCAUAGUAGUUUUUUUGACACAACAAAUCCCAUCUAUCAUCAGUUCAUCACUCAUUCUUGUAUCUGUAUAUGGAAGAAUUGGAAGAGAAGAGGAGUCCAUCUCCCCAUCUCCCCACCCCAACCAAGAAACAAAAAAGGGAAAAAAAAUGAGGAAAAAAAAAGAAAAAAAAAAUCAAAAUAAGGAAUAUGGAGAAGUCAAAAAAGAAAAGAGAAAAGGAAAAAAAGGAAGCAGAAAUGUAUCAGUAAGGUUUAACUUGUUUGACAACGGCAUCGCAUUUUGGUAGUCGACAGGAACCCAUCAACUUUUGCACCUUUUUUUUUUCAGUUGUUUUGUACCUUAAUCUUUAUUUCUUUGUUACAUUCCUUC